GAGCUCUCAAUCUGUCAAUCCUUCCAGUGUCCGGGCCUGGUGAGAUUUCCCGUGUUGAGUCAAAUUAAGCCGCAGGCUCCACUCCUGGUGGUGCCCUUCCGUCAAUUCCUUUAAGUUUCAGUUUUGCAACCAUACUUCCCCCGGAACCCAAAAGCUUUGGUUUCCCGGAAGCUUCCCGAGGAGACAUAAAAUAUAAACAUCCUCGGAUCGCUAGCUGGCAUCGUUUAUGGUUAGAACUAGGGCGGUAUCUGAUCGCCUUCGAACCUCUAACUUUCGUUCUUGAUUAAUGAAAACAUUCUUGGCAAAUGCUUUCGCAGUAGUUAGUCUUCAGACGGUCCAAGAAUUUCACCUCUGUCGUCUGAAUACUAAUGCCCCCGACUGUCCCUAUUAAUCAUUACACCGAUUUCCGAAAACCAACAAAAUAGAAACAGUGUCCUAUUCCAUUAUUCCAUGCACAGAUAUUCAAGCGUGUAAAGCCUGCUUUGAGCACUCUAAUUUUUUCAAAGUAAACCUGACGGCACUACGAGACAAUCGAUUAAGAUCACCCCGAAGCCUCCGUCAAAACACACACAUCGACGGGGCAGUAACGUCGAAUAACGAACCGCCCGCGACGUGUUGAGAUCCAACUACGAGCUUUUUAACCGCAACAACAUUAAUAUACGCUAUUGGAGCUGGAAU
RNAcentral lists this ribosomal RNA (678 nucleotides) under uncultured metazoan. Its description in RNAcentral is "partial 18S ribosomal RNA". The record is from RNAcentral. Lineage: Eukaryota; Metazoa.